Molecule: ribosomal RNA, 253 nt
Filed under: uncultured bacterium
Lineage: Bacteria
Description: partial 16S ribosomal RNA
Rfam family: Bacterial small subunit ribosomal RNA
Source: RNAcentral
UACGGGGGGGGCAAGCGUUGUUCGGAAUUACUGGGCGUAAAGGGCUCGUAGGCGGCCAACUAAGUCAGACGUGAAAUCCCUCGGCUUAACCGGGGAACUGCAUCUGAUACUGGAUGGCUUGAGUUCGGGAGAGGGAUGCGGAACUCCAGGUGUAGCGGUGAAAUGCGUAGAUAUCUGGAGGAACACCGGUGGCGAAGGCGGCAUCCUGGACCGACACUGACGCUGAGGAGCGAAAGCCAGGGGAGCAAACGGG